Molecule: ribosomal RNA, 523 nt
Filed under: uncultured bacterium
Lineage: Bacteria
Description: bacterial SSU rRNA
Rfam family: Bacterial small subunit ribosomal RNA
Source: RNAcentral
AGAGUUUGAUCCUGGCUCAGGAUGAACGCUAGCGGCAGGCUUAAUACAUGCAAGUCGUGGGGCAGCGCGGGUAGCAAUACCUGGCGGCGACCGGCAAACGGGUGCGGAACACGUACGCAACCUUCCUUUAAGCGGGGAAUAGCCCAGGGAAACUUGGAUUAAUACCCCAUAAGACAGUGGAGUGGCAUCACUCAGCUGUUAAAGCUCCGGCACUUAAAGAUGGGCGUGCGGCUGAUUAGGUAGUUGGCGGGGUAACGGCCCACCAAGCCGACGAUCAGUAACUGGUGUGAGAGCACGACCAGUCACACGGGCACUGAGACACGGGCCCGACUCCUACGGGAGGCAGCAGUAAGGAAUAUUGGUCAAUGGACGGAAGUCUGAACCAGCCAUGCCGCGUGGAGGAUGAAGGCCCUCUGGGUUGUAAACUUCUUUUAUCUGGGACGAAACACUUCCUUUCUAGGGAGCUUGACGGUACCAGGUGAAUAAGCACCGGCUAACUCCGUGCCAGCCGCCGCGGUAAUAC